This 407-nucleotide ribosomal RNA is filed under the name Verrucomicrobiota bacterium. RNAcentral's name for it is "Verrucomicrobia bacterium partial 16S ribosomal RNA". It matches the Rfam family "Bacterial small subunit ribosomal RNA", at positions 355 to 776 of the family's 1533-position model. The record is from RNAcentral. Lineage: Bacteria; Pseudomonadati; Verrucomicrobiota.
UGGGGAAUAUUGGACAAUGGAGGGAACUCUGAUCCAGCAAUCCUGUGUGAGUGAUGAAGGUUUUAGGACUGUAAAACACUUUUAGCAGGGAAGAAAAAAAUGACGGUACCUACAGAAGAAGCAACGGCUAAAUACGUGCCAGCAGCCGCGGUAAUACGUAUGUUGCGAGCGUUAUCCGGAAUUAUUGGGCUUAAAGGGCAUCUAGGCGGUAAGACAAGUUGAAGGUGAAAACCUGUGGCUCAACCAUAGGCUUGCCUACAAAACUGUUGAACUAGAGUACUGGAAAGGUGGGUGGAACUACACGAGUAGAGGUGAAAUUCGUAGAUAUGUGUAGGAAUGACGAUGAUGAAGAUAACUCACUGGACAGAAACUGACGCUGAAGUGCGAAAGCUAGGGGAGCAAACAGG